This 506-nucleotide long non-coding RNA is filed under the name Ananas comosus (pineapple). RNAcentral's name for it is "long non-coding RNA (ACOM_LNC027832)". Lineage: Eukaryota; Viridiplantae; Streptophyta; Magnoliopsida; Poales; Bromeliaceae. The record is from RNAcentral.
UAUAUAUAUAGGUCCAACUACUAUACUAUCAAUAGUACCAAACUUUUAAUACUAUCGAGUUUUCUGACGUUAGAUCUAACAUUUAAUCAUUUUCACCCGUUAUAUCAUACUAUUCAAUAAACCACCGACUCAACUCUAGGAGAUCACUAUCAUCCUAGCCGCAUAUUUUUUCAUCCAACGGCCAAAAACUCGAUAGCGCCAAACUCUUGAUACUAUCGAUAGUAUAGUAGCAUAUAUAUAUAUAUAUAUAUAUAUAUAUAUAUAUAAUAUAUAUAUAGAGAGAGAGAGAGAGAGAGAGAGAGAGAGAGAGAGAGAGAGAGAGAGAGUAAGGCUACUAUGCUAUCGGAAGCACGGAGCCUUCCGUGCUUCCAGCUCGUUUUCGAUGUUGCGACUUUCGAAUCGUCAAUCGGCUCCGUUAAACUUGAUCUAGAGUAUUUGAAGUACCUAGAAAUAAAUUUUAUGAUUUUUCGAUAUCAUUUGCCUAGUGAUCGAAGGGGCUCAAAAUC